This 112-nucleotide ribosomal RNA is filed under the name Caerostris darwini. Lineage: Eukaryota; Metazoa; Arthropoda; Arachnida; Araneae; Araneidae. The record is from RNAcentral.
AACGGCCGUACCAUGUUGAAUAUACCGGUUCACGUUAGAUCACCGAAGUCAAGCAUCAUUGGGCGCGGUCAGUACUUGGGUGGGUGACCACCUGGGAACACUGCGUGCCGUU